RNAcentral lists this ribosomal RNA (382 nucleotides) under uncultured eukaryote. RNAcentral's name for it is "partial 18S ribosomal RNA". It matches the Rfam family "Eukaryotic small subunit ribosomal RNA", at positions 592 to 976 of the family's 1831-position model. The record is from RNAcentral.
UGUAAGCGUAUACCAAAGUUGUUGCAGUUAAAACGCUCGUAGUCGGAAUUUGGCAGUUCCGGAUGUGUGCACGUCGUGUGCGCACUUCGCGGGGAUUGCUUUUGUGGUCUUGCGUAGGAUGAGGCACUUUUAUUAGUGAACGUCCUCACGCAACCACUUUUUACUGUGAGAAAAUCAGAGUGCUCAAAGCAGGCAUUUGCCGUGAAUGUAUUAGCAUGGAAUAAUAGAAUAGGACUUGGUUCUAUUUUGUUGGUUUGUUGGGACUGAGUAAUGAUUAAGAGGGACAGUUGGGGGCAUUUGUAUUUCGGUGCUAGAGGUGAAGUUCUUAGAUUACCGAAAGACAAACUGCUGCGAAAGCGUCUGCCAAGGAUGUUUUCAUUGG